This 135-nucleotide non-coding RNA is filed under the name Pseudomyrmex cubaensis. Lineage: Eukaryota; Metazoa; Arthropoda; Insecta; Hymenoptera; Formicidae. The record is from RNAcentral.
CAAAGGAGUAUCGUGUUUGUUGAUAAACGAAACUACGACCUAACCUUUAGGAUCCUAAGGGAUCCUCAAGCCGGAGGCCCACGACGGCUAUAAAUAAAAGAGGGUGUUUCUGAAACACGAUACAUGAUUUUUGUU